CAGGCACAUGAGAGUCCCUAGCACUCCUCUUGGCAUCAGUGGCAGAGAAGACUGUGUAAACCAGGAUGAAGGUGCCAACAAUCUCAGCACCCAAGCCACCACCCUUGGUGUAACCAGGGGCCACAACAUUCGCUCCACCUCCAUUGUUCUCAUAGAGCCCCUUCUUAAACCCUUUCACCACGCCCGCACCGCAUAUGGCACCUAGACACUGCAUCACCAUGUAGAACAGAGCCCUGGUCAGGGACAGCUUCCUGGCCAGGAGCAGCCCAAAGGUCACAGCCGGGUUGAUGUGGCCACCUGAAAACCCAGAGCAUAACUCAGUCGAAGAUAUUGCCGUGAUCACAAGUGAGGAAGGAAACAAGCAGAGGAUGUGUUUGUUCACCUGAGAUCCCAGCGGUGCAGUAGACCAAGAUAAAGAUCAUGCCACCAAAGGCCCAGGCAAUCCCCUGGAUGCCCACGGUGGAGCACUUGGUGUUGGACUUGACCACACCCAUGACGGUGAGGAUGCUGAUGUAGAGGAAGAGGAAGGUGGCCAUGAAUUCUGCUAUGCCAGCCCUGUAGAAGGACCAUGAGCUGAGCUCCGCUGGCUCAAACAGUGGAG
RNAcentral lists this long non-coding RNA (601 nucleotides) under Musa acuminata (dwarf banana). Its description in RNAcentral is "long non-coding RNA (MACU_LNC008332)". Lineage: Eukaryota; Viridiplantae; Streptophyta; Magnoliopsida; Zingiberales; Musaceae. The record is from RNAcentral.